Molecule: long non-coding RNA, 2410 nt
Organism: Leucoraja erinaceus (little skate)
Lineage: Eukaryota; Metazoa; Chordata; Chondrichthyes; Rajiformes; Rajidae
Exons: 4
Source: RefSeq, a predicted model, not a curated record
CCCCCCGCCGCGGCCGUUGGCGCGCGCUCCCGCAGAUCAAAAACUGCGCCCGAGUUGGGGGGCCCGCGCCCGGGGGUGGGGGAGGGCUGAGCGGGCGAGGAGUGUACUGAGUCGGCGCAGAAGCGUGCCUGGCACCGGGGAUCUGUGAUGAAUCCAGUUGAGUGCGAAGUCGGCGCCAUCUUUGAUGCAGUCACAGGGGAGAUUCAUCAGUCAAGAUCAUAGAAGGAACAUAAAAAUGCUGGAGAAACCAGCGGGUGCAGCAGCAUCUACGGAGCGAAGGAUCAUAGAGUCAAGAUUGUGAAAGAAGGGACAAACAGAUGCUGGUUUACACCGAAGAAAACAGACACAAAAUGCUGGAAUUUCUCAGCCGGACAGGCAGCAUCUCUGGAUAGAAGGAAUGGAAGAGGGUCUGUCUUAUGUACCAAAGCAGAACAAUGAAACUCUUUCUUGCAGCAGCUUAACAGGAAAUCUAAUGGAUCAGGGAAUGUAGCGAUUGCAUUUUUCAUUGAAGAAACAGAAACUCAGCCUCCACUCCCACUCCCUUCUUUAAAGAAAGGCCCAACAAGUUCAAGAAACCAACUACUUCGAGGCUUGACGAUGCCCUGAGCGUUCCUGCGGGACUGAAAGCAAUGGAUAUCUCCAAGAACAACUCCAUGUUCAGUCACCAGUUACUGCCACUGGAACCAGGCAAACCAUGGAAGAUCUUGAAGAGUCUUGGACAUAAGGUCAUAAGUGACAAGAGUAGAAUUAGGCUACUCAUCCCAUCAAGCUAGCUCCGACAUUCAAUCAUGGCUGAUCUAUCUCUCCCUCUUAACCCCAUUCUCUUGCCUUCUCCCCAUAACCUCUGACACCCGUCCUAACCAAGAAUCUAUCCAUCUCUGCCUUAAAAAUAUCCACUGACUUGGCCACCACAACCUUCUGUGGCAAAUAAUUCCACAGAUGCAAUUUAGUAACUUGUCAGUUUCUUUGUUGAACUAAAUUAAGGCGCAUGUUGCAAUCAAAAGCGUUUGAACAAGUGUUUGGGAAGAAAGCCAAACUGUAAGAAAGACGACUGCGCCUCUGACUAAAGCAAUUUCUCCUCAACUCCAACCUAAAGGAACUGGUAGAACUGCCCUGGGAGUUUGUCACUUCCGGCUGUCUGCCUUCCACAGCCUCCAACCUUAUCAUUCCCCAGCUACGCAUGGCCCAGUUUUACCCUCUCCCCAAAAUUCAUAAACAGAACUGCCCAGGCAGCAGUGUCUCAGUCGGAAGAAAGUUAUCAACCCGAAAAGUCACCUACUCCUUUUCCCCAGAGAUGCUGCCUGAAACGUUGAGUUUCACCUGCAUUUUGUGUCUAUCUUCGGUGUAAACCAGCAUCUGCAGCUGCUUCCUGCACAGGUACAGGUAGAGUCAUAGAAUCAUAGAGUGAUACAUAGAAGUGGAGACAGCUCCUUGGGCCCAACUUGCCCACACAGGCCAACAUAUCCCAGCUAUACUAGUCCCACCUGCCCGCGUUUGGUCCAUAUCCCUCCAAACCUGUCCUAUCCAUGUACCUGUCUAACUGCUUCUUAAAUGUUGGGAUAGUCCCAGCCUCAACGACGUCCUUUGGCAUGUUGUUCCAUAUGGUCACCUCCCUUUGUGUGAAAAAGCUACCCCUCAGAUUCCCAUUAAAUAAUUUCCCCUUCACCUUAAACCUAUGUCCUCUGGUCCUCGAUCCACCUAUUCUGGGCAAGAGACUCUGUGCCUUAUUUAACUUCUCUAACUUCAGGUAGCCCGUGCUUUCCCUCUCUCUCCAUCCCCUCCCGUUUCCCAGUUCUCCCACUAGUCUUACUGUCUCCGACUACAUUCUAUCUCUGUCCUGCCCCUCUCCCCUGACAUCAGUCUGAAGAAGGGUCUCGACUCGAAACGUCACCCGUUCCUUCUCUCCAGAGAUGCUGCCUGUCCCGCUGAGUUACUCCAGCAUUUUGUGUCCACCUUCGAUUUAAACCAGCAUCUGCAGUUCUUUCCAACACAUUUUAUCUAUUCUCCUGAUGAUUUGAUAUGGAAUGGUUGUGCGAAGCCAAUGCUUAACUUGCAGAGAAUCUCGACGAGACAUUGGAAGGAAACAGGUCCUCUCAUCGUCCUGACAUUCUGUUUGUGGGGGAGGGGAACAACAGGGAAGAAGGGCAACCCCUCCAGUGUUUUCACCUCCAGUUCAUUAAUCUGUGAGUCCAAUGUAUCUGUUAAUCAUUCUGUGCAAAUAAACAUAUCCUCUUAUCAGCUCGAUAUUUGCCCUGAAGUGUGAACUAGAUAGUUAAUUCACAUGGAGAUUUACUUUGUAUUUCAGUUGAGAGAUACAACGCGGAAACAGGCCCUUUGGCCCACCGAGUCCGCACCGACCAGCGACCCCCGCACAUUACCACUAUCCUACACACUCUAGGGACAAUUUUGC